This 1918-nucleotide long non-coding RNA is filed under the name Cicer arietinum (chickpea). RNAcentral describes it as "long non-coding RNA (CARI_LNC001129)". Lineage: Eukaryota; Viridiplantae; Streptophyta; Magnoliopsida; Fabales; Fabaceae. The record is from RNAcentral.
CUAAAAGUAAUCCUAAUUGAUGUGUAUGAGACAGCAAAUAGUAGCACCUCUUGGAGAAAUUGAAAUAGUCUUUAUUAUUAAUAAGCAAAAAAAAAUAAAUGCAGCUAAACAACUCUUCAUCUAAAUUUCGGAGUCGGUGAACUCGGAAUACUACAAAAACUUUCCUUGCAUGGCUGAUUAUGUAACGCAUUGGAUGAAGUCAAGAGGCCAACGCACUAUGCGGACUCAAACAUUGCAAUUCCCCUUUCAGCGAGAUGUCUUGCAACUUGUAAAAAUGUUUAAUUUCUAUUAAUGUUGUUUAUAAUCUUUCUUUUUCUUUUGAAUGUGUUUUGAUUAACUUUUUUAUUUUUCUCUUCAUUGCUUUAUUUCAUAGAUUUCUGUUUUUAUUACAGAGAAGAAAGACGAUUGAUAUGUAAAGCCAUGCAAAUGACGUGCAAAGGCGAGGUGAGUUGAAAAAAAAUUGAACUAUAGCGCUUAAAAAUUGAUAAUUUCUAUUAAAGUGAGAAUAUUUAUGUCCUUUUAUUGGCAUGCUUUUUGAAAUAGUUUGGAUUAACUCUUUAUUUCGAUCUAUAAUGUGCUGUUAUGUGUUUUAUUGUAAAUUUGCUCAACAAAGAAUGCUUUAGUUGAUGCGAUGCUAAAUUGCAAAGAGUAACCACUAUUAUUUACACCAUUCUUCAUAAUUUCUAUUAAGGUGAGAAUAUUUAUGUCCUUUUAUUUGCAUGUUUUUUUGAAAUAGUUUGGAUUAACUCUUAUUUCAAUCUAUAAUGUGUUGUUAUGUGUUUUGUUGUAAAUUUUUUCAACAAAGAAUGUUUAAGUUGAUGUGAUGCUGAAUUACAAAAAGUAACCACUAUUAUUUUCACCAUUCUUCAUAAUUUCUAUUAAGGUGAGAAUAUUUAUGUCCUUCUAUUUGUAUGUUUUUUGAAAUAGUUUGGAUUAACUCUUUUUUCGAUCUAUAAUGUGUUAUGUGUUUUGUUGUAAAUUUGCUCAACAAAGAAUGUUUUAGUUGAUGUGAUGCUGAAUUGCAAAGAGUAACCACUAUUAUUUACACCAUUCUUCAUAAUUUCUAUUAAGGUGAGAAUAUUUAUGUCCUUCUAUUUGCAUGCUUUUUGAAAUAGUUUGGAUUAGCUCUUUAUUUUGAUAUAUAGUUGAUUUGAUGCUGAGUUUGCAAAGGUGAACCACUAUUAUUUACACAAUUCUUCAUCAUUUCUUUUUUCAUUUGAUUCAUAAGGCUCGAUAUGAGCUAGCUAGCAUAUAAAUUGAACACAUUCUCAUUCUCUCUUAACACUUACUCUCACUCUUAUUCUCUCUUAACAAUCACUCUUGUGCUCUACUCUAUAUUAUAUUUCAAUUUUCACUCCACUUAUUUAACCACUAUCUUCCUUAAAAACAAUGACUAGUAAUCAAAAUUUUAUUAUCAUAAUUUUGGUUGUGGUUCUUCUAUUUUCAAUAGGUUUGUAGACAAUUUGCAUAAUAUAAUUUGAAUCUUCUAUGUAUUACUUCUCUUAUGCAUAUUAUAUAUUUAUUAAACUAAUAUUUGUCUUCUCAAUAGGUAUGGCUAAAAUUGUUCUUCUAAUAGAUAAGUGUUUUUCCAGUUGUGCACAAAUCGGGAAUUGUAAAUCAUUUUGCAUUCAUCAAGGCUAUUUGCAAUGGGAAUGUCGUCCAAAGGCAAAUAAUCUUUUAACUUGCUGCUAUUACAAAUUUUGAUGAUAAGCAACCUGCUGAUGAUGUGCCAGUCUUGUAGAAAUUGAAUUGCACGAUUGCAAACCUGCUCACUUUGUUAAUUUACAUGAUUCCAUAACUUGUUGUUAUGACAUUUACAAAUUAUCCAAAUAAUCGACGCCAAGAGGGCAACAUGUUGCUAUUAAUUUCUAUUAAUGUUGUUUAGAAUAUUUCUUUUGAUUGGUGGUUUCUUUCUUGC